Molecule: long non-coding RNA, 4874 nt
Organism: Mustela lutreola (European mink)
Lineage: Eukaryota; Metazoa; Chordata; Mammalia; Carnivora; Mustelidae
Exons: 8
Source: RefSeq, a predicted model, not a curated record
GGCAGACGUGCUCCGACUCCGGUCUGGUAUACGGGUUGCAGUCGGACUCUCUGGCUAUUUUGUGAGCUCCCAUCUGACAGCCUACACUUCUCCGCCGUGUGCCUUGGCCGCAGGAUACGGAGCACUAAGAAGAAAGACCGUAGGAUAAACUCUCAUUUUCCCAGUCGGUUGGGGAAGGAGGUGAAAAAGCCACGCUAGAAACUGAAAGGUAAGCGUGCAGGAAUCCUCCUUCUCCUCACCAGAUGUCUCUUCAGGCCUUCUCAACCUUGGCACUAUUUCAACAUUUUGGCACCUCCUCCCUGACAUCAUGUCCCUGACCCACCACCACUAAGGGGUUCCCGGAUAUUUCACAGCUGAUGACGAGAGGGAAAUCAUGAUUUCACCAACAGAGUUCAAACUGCAAUGAAAUACUUCCCAAACCAUAGCCAAGUCUUGUCCUACGCCUGCCAUGUGGGCGGAGGAAUACAAGGGACAAUGAAUGAUGGCUGAAAACAGGAACAGAACCCAAAGCUGUAGACUGUCCUACAAUGGGAGCAGAGGAGACUCAGUGUUGCCCAAAGAAGAGCUUAGUUUUAGCUCAAGAAACAGUUUGGAAGACAUCUCAUUGCAUUUGAUGACUUUUAUUUCAAACAAAGAGCUUUCAGUUUCAGUGCACAGCCAACCUGAGAGUGAACAUAACAAAUUAAUCAGCACUUUUAAAAAAGAGACCACCAGAAUGGUUUCAAGUUUAAUUCAGAUGUCACCCUAAAGGGAAAAAUAACAACAGCUAUCUGGCCACUGGAAGAGAGUAUCGAUGACAUCAUCACUCGAUCUGCACCCAUUUUGUUGCAUACAUUUUAAGUUCAAGGGGGUGUCUGUGUGGGCCAUGAAUGUGAAUAAGUCCAUAAGGGCUUUCUUAACACUGGGAAGGCUAAGUACUGCCAAGCUAAAUGAUGAGAAUCACAGUGAUGGAGGAGACAUUGCCUCAACCCCGAUUCUUCUGAAGUGUCUUUCAAACACAGCCCCUUAAAGUUAAUCUCCCCAACCUUUACCUACAGGGCUCAGUGAAGAAUAUGAAAAGCUGCCUUCCUGAAACUUCCUUCAAAGAGGGAGUGAUCUCCUGGAAUUCAAGCUUCUACAAGGUGACUACCUGGUCUUUCCCAUUUUUGUCUUCUCCUAAAAAGCAUCAAUCAAGCCUUGCCCUUUCAGCCCACUGAACACAUAAACACUCUUUCUCCUUAACUGAACUUACUGCCACGAUGAACUUGAACUCUAAGACGCACAAGAGGAGAGUUGUUUUAACAGCUGCUUUUACACGGAGGCCCUGGAGUUACUACUCUCAAGACAGCUGGUUCUGAUAAGCCUCUCUUUGCACUGUCCUGUUUUUUCUAAUGCCCAGCUGUCAGAGAACACCCCCUGCAGUGCUCCAAAACAAAGGCACAAAGCAGAAGAAAGGCAGGAGAAUGGUACUCACUUGGAUAUAAGGAAUAUCCUACCUAGGGACCCUUUUUACAAGCUGGCAUAGGGUUUUUCUCUCCAGUUUACUUUAAUAAGUUUAGAAAUUUCUUGGCUAGUUGAAUAUUAAUUGCUUAAGAUGUACUGUUGUCUGAGGUUGCCCUGUCCAAUAUGGUAGCCACCAGCUACAGGUGGCUAUUUAAAUUUAGAGUAAUUAAAAUUAAAUACAAUGUAAAGUGCGGUCUCCCUGUUGCCCUUAGCCACGUUUCAAGGGCUUUGUAUUAGCCACAUGGGUCUAGUAGCUUCCAUAGUGGAAAGCAAAAAUAGAAAACAUUUCCAUCAUUGUAGAAACUUACUGGAUUGCAUUGGCCAAGGCAUAUCCUCUUUCUAAUAGGAGAAAGGGGAUGCAGAUCUGCCUACAAAUAAUGGUUUUGUAGGCUUGGCCUGUAUUGAUUACUUUCCAUACUACUUCCUGUACACUUUUUUUUUGGCUGCCAAUGUUCCAUUUUAUAAAUUCUUGGAAAGGGUAGUUGUGGUCUUUAAAACCACCCAUGAAAAUGAUCCCACUUUGGAGGAAAUAAAACAACAAGAAGCAAAGGUGGUGGCAUGGCAAUCCACACAUUCCAAGUCUUUUUAUUGGUAAUCGUUAAAUAACACAGGAGGAAAUGAGCCUCAGCCAGGACUUCCCACACAGGUAUGGAGGCUGAGAACCCUCGCGGGGAGAGAUCGAAAGCCAGGCCCUCUACUUAUCCUGGCUCUCAGAUCACUGAACUCGUGUCUGGGUAAUGAUGUAAGUGUGAACAGAAGCACACUCUCUGAUAGGAGGUUUUGACGCCGGGGUGCCUGGGUGGCUCAGUGGUUAAAGCCUCUGCCUUCGGCUCAGGUCAUGAUCCCAGGGUCCUGGGAUCGAGUCCCACAUUGGGCUCUCUGCUCAGCAGGGAGCCUGCUUCCCUCUCUCUCUCUCUUUCUGCCUGCCUCUCUGCCUACUUGUGGUCUGUCUGCCAAAUAAAUAAAAAUCUUAAAAAAUAAAAUAAAAAUAAAAAUUUAAAAGUUCCAGGCCACCAGCCACAGAGCACUUAUCCCUGAAAAUGAUUACACAAUUGUACAUUUAAAAGGAAAGGUAGGAAUGAUAAUUUUUAUUUAGUGAACAAAGAUCAUUAGUAACCAUGAGUGUUCCUCUAAGAACAAUCUCUUAUUUUUAUCUUUAUGAUUAUAAUGAGGCUUCCGGGAAAACAGUGUCAGUUCUUUAUUUACACAUGUAAUUGCUUUUAUUUGUUUAAUACCAUAUUUUCUCCUUCUCUACCUGAAUGUAUAGCUGACUUGUUCACUGUUAUAUCCUUAGCAACUAGAAUAAUGCCUGGCUCACUGUAGACAUGUAAAAAGUAUUUGCUGAAAAAUAAAUGAUGACCACCUCCCCCCUUCUAAAGAAAUGUUGACGCCUUCUCCAUAAAAUAAAUCUUCCUCCACUGCCUCUACUAAUCAGGAUUCCCUCCCAACCAAUUAGACGUGGACUCAAUCUCUACCUCCCACUCCACAUUCCAAAAUUCCCAUUCCUUUCUGUUCCAGAAGGACAACUCGCUGACGUGAGUCCGUGAGAGGACCUACACUCCUCCUCGGGGCCUAAUAACCCUCCUUUCCCUGCUUCCCCCACCUUUGGACUUUUAAAAACUGCAAAAAUAGAAAUCUGCCACACUAUCAUGAUAUCAGCUGUCAGGAGGCAGGAACAGAGUCUCCCAUAGGCAUACAGUCACCAGAAACAAUGAAAAACAAACAAACAAAAAAAACCAACUAAGUUUUAUCUCCAAUGAGAUAGGUGCAGGCCAGUGUUUUGCUUGCUCUGAUUUAAAAAAACAACAACAACAACAACUUAUUUUUAAUACUCUAUUAUGAUAGAGUCAAAUAGUAUAUUUAUUUUUUUUUAAAAAGGCACUAGCAGUAUAUCUAAGAUGUGUCUUCAUUAUUAGAAAAAAUCUUAUGUUUAUUAAAAAUGCAUAGGCAUUUUGUGUGAUAUUCCUUAUGGUCAAAAAUCUUUACAUCAUCCUCCUAAUCUGGCUAAAGUGAUAACAUUAAAAUGAAACAAGAGAUGUUUUGCCAUUCCCAAAAUUUAACCAGUUGUUUGAAGUGUUUAUAAUCACUGGUUAUGGGAAUUUACCAAUAAAGAAAUAAAUUUGGAUUUUCUGUGGCUGGAGUCAAAUGGCUAAUGCCAAUAUUAGCUAAAUAAUGUUGAGGCUGAUGAAGUCCGAGUUGUAGGUAUACCUUUUAUUGAAUAUCAACAGGAAUUUAGAGAACUCAUUCUGAAUAUGGGUUAUUUCUAUCCCAUGAAGCAGGAUUAAUGUAGUCAGUAUACUGACACUGACAUUUUAUUAUAGUAAAUGAUCACACAGUCAAAAGGAUUCAUAAAAGCACCUCCUUCGUGGGGUAACAUGGUGGCUAAAUAUAGUGUGUGUUUGCUUAACUUGGCUUUGUAUGUAGUAAAUAUUCUCUAAAAGUUAGCUAUCAUCAUCUGCUUUGGAGAAGUUAUCUGAUUUCACACCUCAUAUAAACCUCAAACUCACAUGGGGACUCCCUGAUUUUAGUCCUUUUAACCCUCAGUUACCAUUCUAAACCACAUACAAAUGGGAGACUCAGUAGGGGCAUGCAUGGAACCAAGAGGCGACAGGGGUCAUCUUUACAAAUUUUUACAAAUUUUUUCAAAACUGCAGGCUCUCUUAAAACUUACACGCUUACUGCGAUCAUAUUUUAUUUUUCUUUAAUGAGAAAUUCUUUCUGAAAUGUAUUGCAGAUGAACAAAUAACAAAACUGACAAACACGGAAGUCUUACGGUUAUCUGAACACAAAGAAUAAGGUGUGAUCGAAUUUGUGCACGUAAGGUUAAGAGAGAGAGAGAAUCUGAAGCAGGCUCUGCACUGAGCACAGAGCCCAACACUGGCUCGAUCCCACCACUGCGAGAUCAUGACCUGAGCCAAAACCAAGAGUCAGGUGCUUAACCAAAUGCGUCACCUAGGCACCCUGCUGCAAUCUAACUGUCCUUUUAAGAGGACAUAUUUCCCUAGGUAAACAUUUCUCCGAAUAAAACCUGCACCCAUCAUUCACAUGGGCCAGAGUAAGAAGGAACAGUCUUGGCAGGAACAAGAGGCAAAGGAAGCCUUAAAGUUGGAGAGCAAGAAAGAAGAGUGGGAGCGAAGGUCCUGGGCAAUGGAGCAGAUGUCCUCCUGCCUACAACCAGUGCUUUUUGUGAGUCAAAAUGCUCAGUGGCUAAUCAGUAUUCAGGAGAAAGGAAAUCUCAUUUACUGAAACAUAACCAUGGUAGGAGGCAGUUUCCUUCUAAUGCUUUUUGGUUCAGAAAUAAUUAAGCACCAUUAGUGUUAUGAGAAGGAAACUAUGAGUAAACAAUUAAAAUGAAGACCCCAGCGUGAUUACUGGACACCUUCUAAUUCCCC